This 500-nucleotide ribosomal RNA is filed under the name uncultured bacterium. RNAcentral describes it as "partial 16S ribosomal RNA". It matches the Rfam family "Bacterial small subunit ribosomal RNA", at positions 29 to 523 of the family's 1533-position model. The record is from RNAcentral.
AUUGAACGCUGGCGGCAUGCCUUACACAUGCAAGUCGAACGGCAGCACGGGAGCAAUCCUGGUGGCGAGUGGCGAACGGGUGAGUAAUAUAUCGGAACGUGCCCAGUCGUGGGGGAUAACGCAGCGAAAGCUGUGCUAAUACCGCAUACGAUCUACGGAUAAAAGCGGGGGAUCGCAAGACCUCGCGCGAUUGGAGCGGCCGAUAUCAGAUUAGCUAGUUGGUGGGGUAAAGGCCCACCAAGGCGACGAGCUGUAGCUGGUCUGAGAGGACGACCAGCCACACUGGAACGGAGACACGGUCCAGACUCCUACGGGAGGCAGCAGUGGGGAGUUUUGGACAAUGGGCGCAAGCCUGAUCCAGCAAUGCCGCGUGCAGGAUGAAGGCCUUCGGGUUGUAGACUGCUUUUGUACGGAACGAAACGGCCCUUUCUAAUACAGGGGGCUAAUGACGGUACCGUAAGAAUAAGCACCGGCUAACUACGUGCCAGCCGCCGCAGUAA